GUGCUGCUUUUGUUGGCUUCGCAAAUGGGCAGGGGAAAGAAAAAAGAUUGUUUGAUUAAACUUUGGAGAUCAACGAAUUAAAGCCCGUGCCUGUUCUGGUGUGAAGGACCUGCAGGGAUGCUCCUCAGCUGCGGUGCAGAGCUGAAUGCGCCCGUCCUCUGCGUGGGAGAUGCAGACCUGGCCUUGCAACCAGGGGAGGAAAACACCUACGUGGAACAAUGUAAAGCAGGUGAAGCAGAAGCUGAUGCAGGAAUGCUCUUGGGGAAGAAGAGUUGGUGCAGGUCCGAUGCUGGCCUCUGGCUGAUGGUUUCCUUGGGGUAUCUAAAGGCAGUAGCUGUGGUGGUGCGAGUACCAGCACGGUGGUGUGGCUGCAGGAGCCGUCACCAGCAGGGAGCCCUGAGCUGUGAGCCCUGCUUGCUCCUGGCAGACCCCACAUGGACUCUGAGAAAGGGAUAUUUGGGAUUUGUGUGGACAAGCAGGCAGGUGUGCUAA
This 492-nucleotide long non-coding RNA is filed under the name Anser brachyrhynchus (Pink-footed goose). RNAcentral describes it as "lncRNA (ENSABRG00000003665.1)". Lineage: Eukaryota; Metazoa; Chordata; Aves; Anseriformes; Anatidae. The record is from RNAcentral.